RNAcentral lists this ribosomal RNA (254 nucleotides) under uncultured bacterium. RNAcentral's name for it is "partial 16S ribosomal RNA". It matches the Rfam family "Bacterial small subunit ribosomal RNA", at positions 524 to 777 of the family's 1533-position model. The record is from RNAcentral.
GACGAGGGAUCCUAGCGUUGUUCGGAAUCAUUGGGCGUAAAGGGCGCGUAGGCGGCUCUGCACGUUCGUUGUGAAAUCGCCCGGCUCAACUGGGCGGGGUCAGCGGAUACGGCAGAGCUUGAGCAAGCUAGGGGGCAAUGGAAUUCCCGGUGUAGUGGUGGAAUGCGUAGAUAUCGGGAGGAACACCAGUGGCGAAGGCGGUUGCCUGGGGCUUUGCUGACGCUGAUGCGCGAAAGCGUGGGGAGCGAGUCCGG